GAAGAAAGCCAUACGGGUUUGGAUCGACCUGAGGGCUUUUCUCUCUCAGAUGAACGAGUGAUUAAAACCGUAUCGGUAGAAGCCAAACAGGGAUCCAUAGACAAGACGAAUGUACACACAGCUGAUCCCUCGACGCUGGGGGAAAAAACGCAGAACCUCUGCAUUGUGAACACUGGGAUGAUCAGGAUGGCUUUUGUGGCGCUAAAUCGAGAGGAAAAGUGGAUCGGCUGGCAACCGAGAAAAGGCCUGGUCUGGCUUUGUUUGAUAUUUUGGACUGAGAUGUAUUUUCUCAGCGUGAGUAUACUCGGGCUCUCAUUGUCAGAGGCAGAGCAAUCAGAAAAAGACAACAGACUCACUGAGAACCGUCGGUAAGCAGGAUGCAAUAACCCUCAAAAUAAAGCUCGAUACCCACACGUCUCCUUUGAAUAUAGAACGGCGACUGGACUCUAGUUCAACUCUGUAGAAAUGAAAAUGUAACUACAGGGAUAAAGACCUGCUCCGUCAGAAUGCCCAACAAAUUGCGGUACGUCACGUGUCCACCAAUCGCCAUUCGCUCAGGUAAGGUGUGGAAAACGGAGCUGUCUUUUUCCUUCAAAGAACCCACUGCCGCAAUUACCGCUGCAGUUUAGAGAAUGAAUGGUGACUUCA
This is a long non-coding RNA of Sinocyclocheilus anshuiensis, 648 nucleotides long. RefSeq lists it as uncharacterized. The record is from RefSeq and is a predicted model, not a curated record. NCBI's taxonomy places the organism in Eukaryota, Metazoa, Chordata, Actinopteri, Cypriniformes, Cyprinidae. The transcript has 3 exons.